This 750-nucleotide ribosomal RNA is filed under the name Halomonas sp. YIM 90832. RNAcentral describes it as "bacterial SSU rRNA". It matches the Rfam family "Bacterial small subunit ribosomal RNA", at positions 35 to 782 of the family's 1533-position model. The record is from RNAcentral. Lineage: Bacteria; Pseudomonadati; Pseudomonadota; Gammaproteobacteria; Oceanospirillales; Halomonadaceae.
GCUGGCGGCAGGCCUAACACAUGCAAGUCGAGCGGUAACAGGUCCAGCUUGCUGGAUGCUGACGAGCGGCGGACGGGUGAGUAACGCAUAGGAAUCUACCCGGUAGUGGGGGAUAACCUGGGGAAACCCAGGCUAAUACCGCAUACGUCCUACGGGAGAAAGGGGGCUUAGGCUCCCGCUAUUGGAUGAGCCUAUGCCGGAUUAGCUGGUUGGUGAGGUAAUGGCUCACCAAGGCGACGAUCCGUAGCUGGUCUGAGAGGAUGAUCAGCCACAUCGGGACUGAGACACGGCCCGAACUCCUACGGGAGGCAGCAGUGGGGAAUAUUGGACAAUGGGGGCAACCCUGAUCCAGCCAUGCCGCGUGUGUGAAGAAGGCCCUCGGGUUGUAAAGCACUUUCAGCGAGGAAGAACGCCUGUCGGUUAAUACCCGGCAGGAAAGACAUCACUCGCAGAAGAAGCACCGGCUAACUCCGUGCCAGCAGCCGCGGUAAUACGGAGGGUGCAAGCGUUAAUCGGAAUUACUGGGCGUAAAGCGCGCGUAGGUGGCUUGAUAAGCCGGUUGUGAAAGCCCCGGGCUCAACCUGGGAACGGCAUCCGGAACUAUGAGGCUAGAGUGCAGGAGAGGAAGGUAGAAUUCCCGGUGUAGCGGUGAAAUGCGUAGAGAUCGGGAGGAAUACCAGUGGCGAAGGCGGCCUUCUGGACUGACACUGACACUGAGGUGCGAAAGCGUGGGUAGCAAACAGGAUUAGA